GUGCUCGCUUUGGCAGCAUAUAUACUAAAACUGGAAUGAUACAGAGAAGAUUAGUAUGGCCCCUGCACAAGGAUGAUGCACAAAUUUGUGAAGUGUUCCAUACAAAA
Macaca fascicularis (crab-eating macaque) is the source of this 107-nucleotide small nuclear RNA. The record is from Ensembl. NCBI's taxonomy places the organism in Eukaryota, Metazoa, Chordata, Mammalia, Primates, Cercopithecidae.